This 580-nucleotide long non-coding RNA is filed under the name Ricinus communis (castor bean). RNAcentral's name for it is "long non-coding RNA (RCOM_LNC001480)". Lineage: Eukaryota; Viridiplantae; Streptophyta; Magnoliopsida; Malpighiales; Euphorbiaceae. The record is from RNAcentral.
AAUCUUAAUAAGUUUUUUUGUUAAUAAGGACUUAGCAAGAACUUCAGAGAUGCACGGCACCUUCUUAGCACCAUACCACAAAGCUUGCUAAAAAUAAUAUUAAUACCAAAGAAAAUACAAAAGAAAAAAAGAGAGAAAGGACUAAAGAAAUCUAUAAUUCUCCCUUCCAUUAACAUCAAGAGGGAGAGAAUUAGUAGAAAAAGCAAGGCACGAGGCCACUAACAAAUCAAGCUAGCUAACACUGCCUUCCUAGCAAGACAAUUUGUAGGUAAGUUCCCUUCUCUAAAACACGAGACACUACAAAAUCCAUAAAAGAAAUCUAGUUUAAACAUCUAGACCAUUCUGCAAGUAAGAACCAAGGAACAUAUAGGCUCUUAGCUUUAAAUAAAUUCACCACGUAAGUAGAAUCACUCUCAAGCCAAAUCUUAUUCCAACCAAAGUUGUAAGCUUUAUCAAUACCAUAUAUAGCAGCCUUUAUUUCAGCCACGAAAGCAUAAGUUGUUGAGAGAGGGACAAUAAAGCAUCCCUUAACAACACCUCGACAAUUUCUGAAUAAACCUCCCACACCCGUCGUGCCCGG